GUCCCUACGGGGCGCAGCAGUGGGGAAUAUUGCACAAUGGGGGAAACCCUGAUGCAGCGACGCCGCGUGAGCGAUGAAGUAUUUCGGUAUGUAAAGCUCUAUCAGCAGGGAAGAAAAUGACGGUACCUGACUAAGAAGCCCCGGCUAACUACGUGCCAGCAGCCGCGGUAAUACGUAGGGGGCGAGCGUUGUCCGGAAUGACUGGGCGUAAAGGGAGUGUAGGCGGCAAUAUAAGUUAGAUGUGAAAUCCCGCGGCUCAACCGCGGAACUGCAUCUAAAACUAUAUAGCUGGAGUGCAGGAGAGG
RNAcentral lists this ribosomal RNA (305 nucleotides) under uncultured bacterium. RNAcentral describes it as "bacterial SSU rRNA". It matches the Rfam family "Bacterial small subunit ribosomal RNA", at positions 335 to 657 of the family's 1533-position model. The record is from RNAcentral.